Molecule: small nuclear RNA, 106 nt
Organism: Empidonax traillii (willow flycatcher)
Lineage: Eukaryota; Metazoa; Chordata; Aves; Passeriformes; Tyrannidae
Source: RefSeq, a predicted model, not a curated record
ACACUCCCUUUGGCAGCACAUAUACUAAAACUGCAGUGAUACAGAGAAGUUAGCGUGACCUCUGUGCAAGGAUGACAUGCAAAUUCAUGAAGCAUUUGAUAAUGUU